GACUCUAACAGAAACUCUGGUCAGAGCUCAGAAAAUACUGUGUAUAUCCUUUUAAAAUGGCAUGAACACAUUCAGAAAAGCCCGCUUCCCGUCGCUGCUCAUUUUCAGCUUUGAACUGUGUGAAACGGUGUCUUCUCACAGCAUCUCAUUUUCUAGUCGCUCUCCCCAGUCUGCUCACUAAUUAGCCCAUCUCAGUGCCUGUGUGUGUGUUUCACUGCGUGGAACUCGCUAAACAAGCGCAUCGUCUGAAACCAUUCAUCUCUGCUCUCCCAAGCUGCUGCCAUGGCAACCGUGUAUGACUGGCACAAAACAGACUGCGGUGUCUGAGCUCAGGGCGAACCUGAAGAGCCGAAAAACGCUCCUGGGCAGACAAAGAGUGGAGAUAUGGAGACACCAGGACGACCAGAGACCGUGAGUGCUUUGUCUCUACAGGCUCAUGAUGCAGAACAGGGAAUACAAACCCCUGUUUUUCUCCAGAAACAAAUAUCUGCAAGAGAAAUGGAAGAAGGCGUAUGAUGUACACAGGAGACAGGUUAAGUCAGUGAAACCAACAAUAUGCAUAAAGCCACCGAAGAAAUUUGUUCACCUGACUCUCAGUCUGAAGAACAAACAGCACCAAGUGAACGCGAAGAUACAGAAGGAAAACGACAGGCUCAAGGAGAAAAUAUCUCAAAUUAUGGCAACAACUGGAAGAGUUGACAGCAGGAAUGACUACGAAAAGAAAAGCAUUCGCCAAGAGAAGCGACAGCGAGAGUUGAUCUCAAUUAGCAAAGAGAAUCAAAUGAUCCAGUUUCGUCUGAGCCAGUGCAAACCUCACUACAGGGCGAGGAACUGGCGAGAAGACUGGCUCAACACUCUAAAGCUGAGGGAUAGCAUCGGACAUUACCCACGAGGAAGCGCAAAACAGCAAAAGGAACAAGAAAAUUGGAUAGCAGAUUCUAAGGGAAAUGAAAAGAGGAAAGAAACCAACAACAAAGAGGAUACAGGAGGAAAGAUAGGAGAAGAGUCGGCUACACAAUUUGCCUCGAAACCAAAUGUACCUGAGGUAUCCAUCUCAGCAGACACACCUGAGAACUGUGGUCCUUCUGACAAUUAAAGUCCAGCAGAUAAACACCCUCAUUGUUCUGAUGAAAUGAUGUGUCUCAAAUGUCCAACACUCCACGCAGAAAAAAUGCAAAGAGGAAUCUCCAAACACAGUGGGAGUGUUCCCUGUUGUAACAGCAAACAGUGGUAGAAGAUUAGAAGCAUUCAGCUCCCUUUUAUUUUGGCAUCUUUAGAUUAAUAAUACUGAAGCAUCAGCACAUCAGCAGCUUACAGAGACACCAGAUGAAUGUAUGGGUGGUAGGAAUAUUAAUGGGAGAGAAGAUAAACAAAGUUCUGAUACACAAAUCUGUUUUUAAUUUUUUGACUUUUCCUCCCAUCUUUGAUUUUUGAGAGGAAAAUGAAUCAUUUGAGCUUUAAUUAAACUGAAACCAUUUGAGAAGUUUUCAAGGGAAAAAUCACAAUUUGAUCCUCAUGGUAACAACUCCUAGACAUCUCAAAUGUGACCGUAACCACACACUGUAUUUUUUAAGAUGUCAGAAGAGGGUUAAUCUUUGAUAAUGGAUUGUAUUUUAGAAGCUUGUUGAAUUAUUAAUGUAUUUUAAAGCUUGAUUAUCUAUUGUGUAAAAUCUUUAUCUUACAAGUUGCUCAACAGUCAAGAAAAUUUACUUGAGUAAAAAGUAUUAUAUUUUCCUCUGAAAUGUACUGAAGUGGAAAUUUGAAGGUGCAUAAAAUGGAAAUGCACAAGUAAAGUGCCAGUUAAUCAAAGUUUACUUCCAUACUAGACUUGUUUGAACUUUUUGAUUGGUUCAAUUGAUAACAAUAAAUAAAUAAAUAAAGGGGUCAAAUCAA
Acanthochromis polyacanthus (spiny chromis) is the source of this 1893-nucleotide RNA transcript. It is a transcript of the gene named CFAP97 domain containing 2, with no coding region annotated. The record is from RefSeq and is a predicted model, not a curated record. NCBI's taxonomy places the organism in Eukaryota, Metazoa, Chordata, Actinopteri, Pomacentridae. The transcript is spliced from 6 exons.